ACCAUUCCAAAAUUCUCCCUUCCCAAUCAGAGAGAGAGAGUGCAAAGCUUCUCCCAAAAUCUCAGCAGCUUGAGCCUGCAGCCAACGCCCAACCCCAACGAAACGGAAAAUAAAUCCCCAUUGGCUGAUUUCUGUUGGCUUUUUGCUGCUAACACUAGCCACUCCAGCCGCUAAGCCGACUUCUAGCCUUCAAUUUCAAAGGCGUAAAGCUCCAAGACUCACAAACUUCCAUUACUAUCGUGUGGACCUCUAUUUUCAAGUCCUUGAUACACAAUUAAAGGAAUUGAAUGAUCGCUUCAAUGAGGUAAACACCGA
This is a non-coding RNA of Malus domestica (apple), 315 nucleotides long. The record is from RefSeq and is a predicted model, not a curated record. NCBI's taxonomy places the organism in Eukaryota, Viridiplantae, Streptophyta, Magnoliopsida, Rosales, Rosaceae.